Molecule: ribosomal RNA, 467 nt
Filed under: uncultured soil bacterium
Lineage: Bacteria
Description: bacterial SSU rRNA
Rfam family: Bacterial small subunit ribosomal RNA
Source: RNAcentral
AGAUUGAACGCUGGCGGUAUGCCUUACACAUGCAAGUCGAACGGCAGCACGGGGGCAACCCUGGUGGCGAGUGGCGAACGGGUGGGUAACAUAUCGGAACGUGCCCUGGAGUGGGGGAUAACUAGUCGAAAGACUAGCUAAUACCGCAUACGAUCUACGGAUGAAAGUGGGGGAUCGCAAGACCUCAUGCUCGUGGAGCGGCCGAUAUCUGAUUAGCUAGUUGGUGGGUAAAGGCCUACCAAGGCAUCGAUCAGUAGCUGGUCUGAGAGGACGACCAGCCACACUGGGACUGAGACACGGCCAGACUCCUACGGGAGCAGCAGUGGGAAUUUGGACAAUGGGCGCAAGCCUGAUCCAGCAAUGCCGCGUGAGUGAAGAAGGCCUUCGGUUGUAAGCUCUUUGUCAGGAAGAACGGUCUAGGCUAAUACCUGAGCUAAUGACGUACUAGAAGAAUAAGCACCGCUAAC